UACAGAGGGUGCAAGCGUUAAUCGGAAUUACUGGGCGUAAAGCGUGCGUAGGUGGUUUACUAAGUCAGGUGUGAAAUCCCCGGGCUCAACCUGGGAACUGCGCUUGAUACUGGUAAACUAGAGUGCGGCAGAGGGGGGUAGAAUUCCACGUGUAGCAGUGAAAUGCGUAGAUAUGUGGAGGAAUACCGAUGGCGAAGGCAGCCCCCUGGGUCGACACUGACGCUCAUGCACGAAAGCGUGGGGAGCAAACAGG
RNAcentral lists this ribosomal RNA (253 nucleotides) under uncultured bacterium. Its description in RNAcentral is "partial 16S ribosomal RNA". It matches the Rfam family "Bacterial small subunit ribosomal RNA", at positions 524 to 776 of the family's 1533-position model. The record is from RNAcentral.